This 779-nucleotide ribosomal RNA is filed under the name Synopeas sp. M334. RNAcentral's name for it is "eukaryotic LSU rRNA". It matches the Rfam family "Eukaryotic large subunit ribosomal RNA", at positions 472 to 920 of the family's 3401-position model. The record is from RNAcentral. Lineage: Eukaryota; Metazoa; Arthropoda; Insecta; Hymenoptera; Platygastridae.
CCCGAAAGAUCGAAUGGGGAGAUUCACCGUCGAUUAGGUGAUGAAGGUCUUUGGCUGGUGCGCGAUGUUUGAAGCGAUAUUUUAAUCGGUAUUUGCUGAUAAGCACGCAAGCUACCAAAUUGGAUCCAACCGCCGGCGUGCACUUCUCCCCUAGUAGAACGUCGCGACCCGCUGGAUGUACGGUCUACGGGGCCGCGCCAUUAGACUGUCGCGCGGGGGCCUCGCGGCUCUCGUCGGCAGAGGCGCGGAUCUUGACCCGACCGACUGUCCGGCGGUAGUUGAACGAAAGGUAUACGGCCGCGGUUUUACCGCGCGUUCCGGCGUCGGGCGAGUUCGACUCGGCCCUCGGUUGUACGGACCUAGUAGCCGAUCCGAGGGCAGUGAGCGAUUGCGGCCCGGCUGUCCGCGAACAGGUUGUAAAUAAAUACCAGUCAGCGACGCUAUUGCUUUGGGUACUUUCAGGACCCGUCUUGAAACACGGACCAAGGAGUCUAACAUGUGCGCGAGUCAUUGGGCAUACAACGAAACCCAAAGGCGUAUUGAAAGAGAAUCCGUUGCCCUCGUGGUUUCCGGAUUUGGGACGACGAUAUUAGCCGAAAGGCGACGCUCCGCAGUCCCGGGGCGUUUCGAGCUCAUUGCGAGCUGAGGCGCACCUAGAGCGCACACGUUGGGACCCGAAAGAUGGUGAACUAUGCCUGGUCAGGACGAAGUCAGGGGAAACCCUGAUGGAGGUCCGUAGCGAUUCUGACGUGCAAAUCGAUCGUCGGAACUGGGUAUAG